UUUUUUUUUUUUGGCGGAGGGGCGUGAGAUGGUUAAUUGGACACUGUCAACCUAUAGUUACGCAUUUUGGAACCCUUCUAGAACGUGCUACUCCGUUUUUCCCGUUCCUAUCUUAAAGACCUUUCAGUUUCAGUGGUUGAUAAGAACGUGCUACUCCAGCAGUUGCUUGUCACGGGACAUGGAGUUUCUCAAGCCGAGCUAAAAUGAGUUUAGGUGAACAGUAAAAUUAAAAGAAUUUAAAAAAA
Molecule: long non-coding RNA, 245 nt
Filed under: Hordeum vulgare
Lineage: Eukaryota; Viridiplantae; Streptophyta; Magnoliopsida; Poales; Poaceae
Description: long non-coding RNA (HVUL_LNC001542)
Source: RNAcentral